Molecule: ribosomal RNA, 253 nt
Filed under: uncultured bacterium
Lineage: Bacteria
Description: partial 16S ribosomal RNA
Rfam family: Bacterial small subunit ribosomal RNA
Source: RNAcentral
UACGUAUGGUGCAAGCGCUAUCCGGAUUUACUGGGUGUAAAGGGAGCGCAGGCGGCACGGCAAGCCUGAUGUGAAAGCCCGCGGCCCAACCGCGGGACUGCAUUGGGAACUACCGGGCUGGAGUGCCGGAGAGGUAGGCGGAAUUCCUAGUGUAGCGGUGAAAUGCGUAGAUAUUAGGAGGAACACCAGUGGCGAAGGCGGCCUACUGGACGGUGACUGACGCUGAGGCUCGAAAGCGUGGGGAGCAAACAGG